This 254-nucleotide long non-coding RNA is filed under the name Musa acuminata (dwarf banana). RNAcentral describes it as "long non-coding RNA (MACU_LNC010570)". Lineage: Eukaryota; Viridiplantae; Streptophyta; Magnoliopsida; Zingiberales; Musaceae. The record is from RNAcentral.
GUGUAUGCUAUCACUGAAUAUGAUUCUAAAACUUCUGAAUUAGUGGUCGAAGGUAUUAUUCAUGUUUAUGAAAGAAUGCAAAUAUUUGUUUGACCAUGGGUCCCAUCUACGAUUUGAUUCGUAACAUUUUGCUUAUUACUUGGGUAUUCAACCUAGACCACUGCAUUAUGUGCUAUAUUUAAAUACGAUCAUGGGAGAUUCUUUGAUAACGAACUUGAAUCUGGUCCUCUUGUUUGAUUCUUAUUGGAGAACUU